AUACGGAGGGUGCAAGCGUUGUUCGGAAUCACUGGGCGUAAAGCGUACGUAGGCGGAUUUUUAAGUCAGAAGUGAGAGCCCAGGGCUCAACCCUGGAACUGCUUUUGAAACUGGAAGUCUAGAGUCCCGGAGAGGUUAGGGGAAUUCCGAGUGUAGCAGUGAAAUGCGCAGAUAUUCGGAGGAACACCAGUGGCGUAGGCGCCUAACUGGACGGGAACUGACGCUGAGGUACGAAAGCGUGGGGAGCAAACGGGAUUAGAAACCCUAGUAGUCC
This 274-nucleotide ribosomal RNA is filed under the name uncultured bacterium. Its description in RNAcentral is "partial 16S ribosomal RNA". It matches the Rfam family "Bacterial small subunit ribosomal RNA", at positions 523 to 796 of the family's 1533-position model. The record is from RNAcentral.